This 274-nucleotide ribosomal RNA is filed under the name uncultured bacterium. Its description in RNAcentral is "partial 16S ribosomal RNA". It matches the Rfam family "Bacterial small subunit ribosomal RNA", at positions 523 to 796 of the family's 1533-position model. The record is from RNAcentral.
ACACGUAGGGCGCAAGCGUUGUCGGGAUUUGUUGGGCGUAAAGGGCUCGUAGGCGGUUUCGUAAGUCGGGUGAGAAAACUCAGGGCUCAACCCUGAGACGCCACUCGAUACUGCGAUGACUUGAGUCCGGUAGGGGAGCAGGGAUUCCUGGUGUAGCGGUGAAAUGCGCAGAUAUCAGGAGGAACACCAUUAGCGAAGGCGCUGCUCUGGGCCGGUACUGACGCUGAGGAGCGAAAGCAUGGGGAGCAAACAGGAUUAGAAACCCUAGUAGUCC